This 205-nucleotide ribosomal RNA is filed under the name uncultured bacterium. RNAcentral's name for it is "partial 16S ribosomal RNA". It matches the Rfam family "Bacterial small subunit ribosomal RNA", at positions 328 to 539 of the family's 1533-position model. The record is from RNAcentral.
ACGCUCGACACCUACAGGAGGCAGCAGUGGGGAAUAUUGGGCAAUGGGCGAAAGCCUGACCCAGCAACGCCGCGUGAGGGAAGAAGGUUUUCGGAUUGUAAACCUCUGUCCUCAGGGACGAAGGACGUGACGGUACCUGGGGGGAGAAGAAGCCCCGGCUAACUACGUGCCUGCAGCCGCGGUAAUCUGAGCGGGCUGGCAAGGC